RNAcentral lists this ribosomal RNA (569 nucleotides) under uncultured bacterium. RNAcentral's name for it is "bacterial SSU rRNA". It matches the Rfam family "Bacterial small subunit ribosomal RNA", at positions 222 to 807 of the family's 1533-position model. The record is from RNAcentral.
AGGAUGGGCAUGCGUCCCAUUAGUUAGUUGGUAAGGUAAUGGCUUACCAAGCCUAUGACGGGUAGCCGAUCUGAGAGGAUGCUCGGCCGCAAUGGGACUGAGACACGGCCCAUACUCCUACGGGAGGCAGCAGUGGGGAAUCUUGGACAAUGGAGGAAACUCUGAUCCAGCGAUCCCGCGUGGAGGAUGACGCCUUAUGGGGUGUAAACUCCUUUUUUGGGGGAAGACAACUGACGGUACCCCAAGAAUAAGGAACGGCUAACUACGUGCCAGCAGCCGCGGUAAUACGUAGGUUCCAAGCGUUAUCCGGAUUUACUGGGCGUAAAGCGUCCGUAGCCGGUCGUAUAAGUCUGUUUUCAAAUAUCAUCGCUCAACGAUGAAAAGGGAAUGGAUACUGUACAACUAGAAGUUGUGAGGGGUUAGUGGAAUUUCCGGUGGAGCGGUGAAAUGCGUUGAUAUCGGAAGGAACGCCAAAAGCGAAGGCAGCUAACUAUUACAAACUUGACGGUAAGGGACGAAAGUCUGGGUAGCAAACGGGAUUAGAUACCCCGGUAGUCCAGACCGUAAAU